This 207-nucleotide long non-coding RNA is filed under the name Vigna radiata. RNAcentral's name for it is "long non-coding RNA (VRAD_LNC004528)". Lineage: Eukaryota; Viridiplantae; Streptophyta; Magnoliopsida; Fabales; Fabaceae. The record is from RNAcentral.
UUUACUAUAGUAUUAUACAUAAAUUUUUUUCUAUAUUUUAAAAAAAUUUAACAUCUCAAAUGCAACUAUUUUCAAGAGUCUUACAUGUUACGCUAACAUUAUCAAUGUCACGUGUCACACUACAUUGUUAAUGCCACGUGACAUACUAAUAUUAUCAGUGUUACAUGCCAUGCAUGAACUUGACACAAAAACAACAAAAUAUUUAAC